GAUCGCUAGCAGAACGCCUAACACAUGCAAGUCGAACGAUCCUUCGGGAAAGUGGCAGACGAGCGAGUAACGCGUACUUAACUUGCCCUCGAGACGAGAACAACUAUGGAGACAUAGCUAAUUCUCGAUAUGCUCACAAUGGUGAAAUUCCUAUGUGAGGAAAGAUUAUUGCUCGGGGAGAGGGGUGCGUCCUAUCAGGUUGUUGGUGAGGUAAAGGCUCACCAAGCCUAUGACGGGUAGCCGGUUUGAGAUGAUGAUCGGCCGCGAUGGGACUGAGACACGGCCCAUACUCCUACGGGAGGCAGCAGUGGGGAAUAUUGCACAAUGGACGAAAGUCUGAUGCAGCGAUUCUGCGUGGAGGACGAAGCAUUACGGUGUGUAAACUCCUUUUUUGGUAGAAGACGAAUGACGGUAUACCAAGAAUAAGGGACGGCUAACUAUGUGCCAGCAGCCGCGGUAAUACAUAGGUCUCAAGCGUAAUCCGGAUUUACUGGGCGUAAAGAGUCCGUAGCCGGACAUAUAAGUCUGUUUUCAAAUCCUAUGGCUCACCCAUAGACCGGGAAUAGAUACUGUAUGUCUGGAAGUUAUUGGGGGUUAGUGGAAUUUCAGGUGGAGCGGUGGAAUGCGUUGAUAUCUGAAAGAACGCCGAAAGCACAAGCAGCUAACUACAAUAAACUUGACCGUAAGGGACGACAGCUUGGGUAGCGAACGGGAUUAGAUACCCCGGUAGUCCAAGCCGUAAAUGAUGC
This 749-nucleotide ribosomal RNA is filed under the name uncultured organism. RNAcentral describes it as "bacterial SSU rRNA". It matches the Rfam family "Bacterial small subunit ribosomal RNA", at positions 28 to 812 of the family's 1533-position model. The record is from RNAcentral.